AGUGUACUAGUGUAGUGGUUAUCACACAUAUGGGAUUCUGAUGGUAUAUAUUGGUCCUUACUUAUUCCCAUGACCCAGGUUCGAGUCCUGGCAGGACCU
Dendrothele bispora CBS 962.96 is the source of this 99-nucleotide non-coding RNA. NCBI's taxonomy places the organism in Eukaryota, Fungi, Basidiomycota, Agaricomycetes, Agaricales. The record is from the annotation of a GenBank genome assembly.